This 391-nucleotide ribosomal RNA is filed under the name Chrysophyceae sp. RNAcentral's name for it is "partial small subunit ribosomal RNA". It matches the Rfam family "Eukaryotic small subunit ribosomal RNA", at positions 582 to 975 of the family's 1831-position model. The record is from RNAcentral. Lineage: Eukaryota; Chrysophyceae.
AUUCCAGCUCCAAUAGCGUAUACUAAAGUUGUUGCAGUUAAAAAGCUCGUAGUUGAAUUUCUGGAUGCGAUAGAUGGUCGGCACCUCACGGUGUCUGCACCUAUCAUUCGCGUUCAUCCUCGGGAGGAACGUGUGGUCUCUUUAGUGAGCCCGCUCGGGAAUCUCGUCAUUUACUGUGAGCAAAAUAGAGUGUUCAAAGCAGGCUUAUGCCGUUGAAUAUAUUAGCAUGGAAUAAUAAGAUACGACUUUGGUCUAUUUUGUUGGUUUACAUUCCAAAGUAAUGAUUAAUAGGGAUAGUUGGGGGUAUUCGUAUUCAAUUGUCAGAGGUGAAAUUCUUGGAUUUAUGGAAGACGAACUACUGCGAAAGCAUUUACCAAGGAUGUUUUCAUUA